RNAcentral lists this ribosomal RNA (382 nucleotides) under uncultured Prevotella sp. RNAcentral's name for it is "bacterial SSU rRNA". It matches the Rfam family "Bacterial small subunit ribosomal RNA", at positions 354 to 734 of the family's 1533-position model. The record is from RNAcentral. Lineage: Bacteria; Pseudomonadati; Bacteroidota; Bacteroidia; Bacteroidales; Prevotellaceae.
UGAGGGAAUAUUGGGUCAAUGGGCGAGAGCCUGAACCAGCCAAGUAGCGUGCAGGAUGACGGCCCUAUGGGUUGUAAACUGCUUUUAUGCGGGGAUAAAGUGAGGGAUGCGUCCCUUUUUGCAGGUACCGCAUGAAUAAGGACCGGCUAAUUCCGUGCCAGCAGCCGCGGUAAUACGGAAGGUCCGGGCGUUAUCCGGAUUUAUUGGGUUUAAAGGGAGCGUAGGCCGGAGGGUAAGCGUGUUGUGAAUGCAGUUGCUCAACAUCUGCACUGCAGCGCGAACUGUUCUCCUUGAGUGCGCAGGAAGUAGGCGGAAUUCGUCGUGUAGUGGUGAAAUGCUUAGAUAUGACGAAGAACUCCGAUUGGGAAUCAGCUUACUGUAG